This is a small nuclear RNA of Echinops telfairi (small Madagascar hedgehog), 164 nucleotides long. Its record names the gene U1. It matches the Rfam family "U1 spliceosomal RNA". Rfam says of the family: U1 is a small nuclear RNA (snRNA) component of the spliceosome (involved in pre-mRNA splicing). Its 5' end forms complementary base pairs with the 5' splice junction, thus defining the 5' donor site of an intron. NCBI's taxonomy places the organism in Eukaryota, Metazoa, Chordata, Mammalia, Afrosoricida, Tenrecidae. The record is from Ensembl.
AUACUUAUCUGGCAGAAGAGAUACCAUGAUCACGAAGGUAGUUUUCCCAGGGCGAGGCUUAUCCUUUGCACCCCGGAUGUGCUGACCCCUGCGAUUUCGCCAAAUGUGGGAAACUCGACUGCAUAAUUUGUGGUAGUGGGGGACUGUGUUCAUGCUCUCCCCUG